RNAcentral lists this ribosomal RNA (237 nucleotides) under uncultured Staphylococcus sp. Its description in RNAcentral is "partial 16S ribosomal RNA". It matches the Rfam family "Bacterial small subunit ribosomal RNA", at positions 103 to 334 of the family's 1533-position model. Lineage: Bacteria; Bacillati; Bacillota; Bacilli; Caryophanales; Staphylococcaceae. The record is from RNAcentral.
CGGGUGAGUAACACGUGGAUAACCUACCUAUAAGACUGGGAUAACUUCGGGAAACCGUAGCUAAUACCGGAUAAUAUUUUGAACCGCAUGGUUCAAAAGUGAAAGACGGUCUUGCUGUCACUUAUAGAUGGAUCCGCGCUGCAUUAGCUAGUUGGUAAGGUAACGGCUUACCAAGGCAACGAUGCAUAGCCGACCUGAGAGGGUGAUCGGCCACACUGGAACUGAGACACGGUCCAG